CCUACGGGUGGCAGCAGUGAGGAAUAUUGGUCAAUGGCCGGAAGGCUGAACCAGCCAUGCCGCGUGAAGGUCAGUGCCCUAUGGGCGUUAAACUUCUUUUGUGCGGGAGCAAUAAUGGUCACGUGUGGCCAGACGAGAGUACCGUACGAAUAAGCAUCGGCUAACUCCGUGCCAGCAGCCGCGGUAAUACGGGGGAUGCAAGCGUUAUCCGGAUUUAUUGGGUUUAAAGGGUGCGUAGGCUGGGAGGUAAGUCGGCGGUGAAAUGCCCCGGGUCAACGGGGUGAAGUGCCAUUGAUACUGCCUGGCUGGAAUGCGGAUGCCGUGGGAGGAAUGUGUGGUGUAGCGGUGAAAUGCAUAGAUAUCACACAGAACACCGAUUGCGAAGGCAUCUCACGAAUCCGCGAUUGACGCUGAUGCACGAAAGCGUGGGUAUCAAACAGGAUUAGAUACCCCUGUAGUC
Molecule: ribosomal RNA, 460 nt
Filed under: uncultured bacterium
Lineage: Bacteria
Description: partial 16S ribosomal RNA
Rfam family: Bacterial small subunit ribosomal RNA
Source: RNAcentral